Saccostrea echinata is the source of this 160-nucleotide long non-coding RNA. RefSeq lists it as uncharacterized. The record is from RefSeq and is a predicted model, not a curated record. NCBI's taxonomy places the organism in Eukaryota, Metazoa, Mollusca, Bivalvia, Ostreida, Ostreidae. The transcript is spliced from 3 exons.
CGGAGGGAACCCCGUCACAGAUGUGGAUACUAAACUGAAGACCUUAAAGUUCGAUUACCAGUGGGUUGACGCUGUGGAAGAGGAAGAGAGACGUUUGGAGGAGGAACAAAAACAGAAAAUAGAAAUGAAUAAAAAGUUAGAUAAAGAAAUUGUAGGAGAG